This 781-nucleotide transfer RNA is filed under the name Bradyrhizobium sp. 12LoS3_1. RNAcentral describes it as "16S-23S ribosomal RNA intergenic spacer". The stretch from base 189 to 262 matches the Rfam family "tRNA". Lineage: Bacteria; Pseudomonadati; Pseudomonadota; Alphaproteobacteria; Hyphomicrobiales; Nitrobacteraceae. The record is from RNAcentral.
CUAAGGAUGGUUCUUCAGAAGCUUGCUUCUAUCGAACCGUUUUAGAAACAUCAGUGGCCAACAGAUCGCCAGAUCGUUGUGCUGCAUUGGCGGGAUUUCGCCGUCUACGUUUCUCUUUCUUCGCGGACGAACACGCGCUGGGGCUGCUAGCUUGCAGAAUCCCUGGUCCUUAACAGGAUAUGCGUUAGGGGCUUGUAGCUCAGUUGGUUAGAGCGCGCGCUUGAUAAGCGUGAGGUCGGAAGUUCAAGUCUUCCCAGGCCCACCACUUUCAUCGAGUGAGCAUUCGUCUUCUGGUUACGGGGCCAUAGCUCAGCUGGGAGAGCGCGUGCUUUGCAAGCAUGAGGUCGUCGGUUCGAUCCCGUCUGGCUCCACCAGAUGGUUUGAUCACCGAGAUCUUGUACCGUCGUCCGCGAAACAUCACUUCGCACUUACUAGUCUGGAUAGACAGUAAGCUGCGUGAUUUCUGACAUCGUAAAGAGGAGAUCGAUCCGAGUUGGAUCGUGCGGCAAGCAAUUGCCACGCGAGACUUCAUUAUCUCCGGAUCAUUUCGGCGCUCGUGCGUCUUUCGAAGGUAGCUCACAAGGCUGCGCUCGAGAGGCAAGCGAGUUGUAAAUGAUCCUUUUAGCGAAGCUUGACCGCCUCGCUAUCGGAACGAUCUUACGAAGCAAGCUGGUCUUUCUAGUCAAUGUCCGGCUGUACGUAGCGUUCAUCGAGGGCGCGUGCCGCAAGGCAAUCGUACAGACAACAUUCUGCCGAGUGUGUGGACAUUGAUAAUGAGAGC